ACAUAUAUACUUUCUUUCCAACUAAUUUUCAUACAAUAACAUUAGAUAGCCUGCAAUACCAAACGCGCCUAAGAAGUUGUAGUUCACAAAAGAACAAGAAGCAUUGGGCCUCUCCUGCCCUUAGCCUUUGUUUGGUUGGGGGUUAAGGGGAGGAAUAACCCCUUAACCCCUAUAUUAUCUCCAAACACCUCCAAAAAUGGGUGGGUUAACUAACCCCACCUCAAAUGGGCUAUUCCGGUUAGCUAACCCCGCCUAACUCCACCAAACUCCAACCAAACACUAUUCUCUAUUCAUAAUAACCCACAAUCCUUUUUAUCCCACCUACUCCAACCAAAUACUAUUUUUCACUAUCCUGAACUAACUCCAACCCCCAACUAAAUAUAAAAAUAUUCUAACCCCGCCUAAACCCUGAACUUAACCCUAUUCUUGAAAUAACUAGUUUUUCCUUAACCCCGAACCAAACGGUAACUUAGCACACUUUUCGAAGCAUAUAUCCUUGAUCGAUAUGACUUUUU
Molecule: long non-coding RNA, 515 nt
Filed under: Ananas comosus (pineapple)
Lineage: Eukaryota; Viridiplantae; Streptophyta; Magnoliopsida; Poales; Bromeliaceae
Description: long non-coding RNA (ACOM_LNC016859)
Source: RNAcentral